Molecule: ribosomal RNA, 508 nt
Filed under: uncultured bacterium
Lineage: Bacteria
Description: partial 16S ribosomal RNA
Rfam family: Bacterial small subunit ribosomal RNA
Source: RNAcentral
GACGAACGCUGGCGGCGCGCUUAAUACAUGCAAGUCGAGCGAGAACCGGAGCUUCGGCUCCGGGGACAGCGGCGAACGGGUGAGUAACACGUGGGUAACCUGCCCUCGGCACCGGGAUAGCCCGGGGAAACCCGGAUUAAUACCGGAUGGCCCUUCCGGUCUUCGGACCGGUCGGCAAAGGUAGCUUCGGCCUCCGGCCGGGCAUUGGCCCGCGGCGGAUUAGCUUGUUGGUGAGGUAACGGCUCACCAAGGCUCCGAUCCGUAGCUGGUCUGAGAGGACGAUCAGCCACACAGGGACUGAGACACGGCCCAGACUCCUACGGGAGGCAGCAGUAGGGAAUCUUGCGCAAUGGGCGAAAGCCUGACGCAGCGACGCCGCGUGCGGGAAGACGGCCUUCGGGUUGUAAACCGCUUUCAGGAGGGACGAAGCCACUCGGGUGAAUAGCCCAGAGGGUGACGGUACCUCCAGAAGAAGCCCCGGCUAACUACGUGCCAGCCGCCGCGGUAA